RNAcentral lists this ribosomal RNA (512 nucleotides) under Chlorogomphus aritai. RNAcentral's name for it is "partial 16S ribosomal RNA". It matches the Rfam family "Bacterial large subunit ribosomal RNA", at positions 1819 to 2597 of the family's 2925-position model. Lineage: Eukaryota; Metazoa; Arthropoda; Insecta; Odonata; Chlorogomphidae. The record is from RNAcentral.
GUCUUCUUGAUUAUAUAGGAAGUCUGACCUGCCCGGUGAAUAAGAAUUUAACGGCCGCGGUAUUUUGACCGUGCAAAGGUAGCAUAAUCAUUAGUCUUUUAAUAGAGGGCUGGAAUGAAGGGUUUGACGAAAUGCUUACUGUCUCAUUUAAUUUGGAAUUUGAAUUUGACUUUUUAGUUAAAAGGCUAAAUUGUUAUUGGAAGACGAGAAGACCCUAUAGAGCUUUAUAUUUUAAAAUUUAAGAAGUUUUUGUAUAAUUAUUAUUUUUUAAAUGGAAAAAUAUUUUGUUGGGGUGACAAAAAUAUAUAACAAACUUUUUUAUAAAAAUAACAUUGAUAUAUGAAUAUUAGAUCCAUUAGUAUUGAUUGUUAGAGAAAGUUACCUUAGGGAUAACAGCGUAAUCUUCCUUCAGAGUUCAAAUUUACAGGAAGGCUUGCGACCUCGAUGUUGGAUUAAGAUAAUAGUUAGGUGCAGCUGCUUAAUUUAUAGGUCUGUUCGACCUUUAAUUUCUU